CCUCCUCUCCACCUCUGAGGGGUCCAAGCUUGUCCAUUCCCAAAGCCUGCUCUGUAGGGGAAGUGAUGUAUGCCAGUGGAGAGGGGCCUGGCAGCAGCUGCCUGUCAUUUGUCCCCCUGACUAAAGAAGCUUAAGGCCCAGUGGGAGCAUUGACAGGAGAGGAAAUAGUCCGUACAAGCCUCCUGGAACCUCACCUCUCUCACAAAACAUCAAGAAUCGCUAAAAGGAGGAAGAAAGGCUAGGAAAGCCAUGUUACAAUUAUUCUCACCACUGAUUGUCAUGCACCUCUGGCGAAACCAGUGUUUUAAAGCAUAAUGGCAAGAAUCUCCACCUCUCUUGAUGGAUUGCGGAGAGACCUUAGGAUCAGUUGAUUUGCCUAGAACAUACUUUCAUGGUCCUAUCAUUACAAAGAUGGUACCUUUUACUUAACUACAUGAAGUCCUUCCAGGGCAGUGCUGAAUCAUCAAUGAAAUAAAGAACACAGUCACAAGUCUGAGACUAUGUUUUCAGGACUCAUUCACUGAGGCUGUCAGAGGACCUGGUUGUUCUCACUGAUUUUGAGCUCAGAGACUGAAGAUGUGCCCAACAGCAUGAAUGCAUUGAAGCUUCUCUGAUGGGACUUACAUUUUCGGCUGGCACCAACUCUGGGCUAAGGGAUUCUGUAUGUUUACUUCCCGCUGUAUAAAGUAGGCCUGCCUUUGACUUGCCCCAAAUCUGUUCCUUUCCAGCAUUCAGGGGGACCCCCUUGUUCUAACACAACAGGGCUUGGUGAACAAGGUCAUUUCGCCUUUCCAUCCAUCUUGCUGACUUCAGACUAUGGCCACUUACUCCAGACAUAAGAGGCCUGAUUCUGGCGGGCCCUCCCCUGGGGAACAUUUUACACGCAGCAGCUAGUGAUCUCUGUGGCCGACAGACUGCUUUUUAACUGCGUUCUCCUCCCUGCCCCCACUGCUUCCUGGCCAAGGCAGGGAGUCCCUCUCAGUAGGAGCUGCGCAGAGGACAGGGUGAGGAGGAGCUUCCUCUGGCAAUCGGGUCUCCCUCAGCUGAACAGAGGAAGCGGGAACAUGUCAGGAUUGGGGUCUGAGGUUAACCUUGAUGGACUCUGGGCCACAGUGGCAGCUGGGGAAAGCUGCCAAAUUCUGGCGCUAAGAAUAGUGAGACCUUAUUUGGGUUUAUCGUAUUGACACAUUUCACACUACGUUUCUUAACAGGCUGCCUUGUUGGAUAGCAUUUGUAGCCACCUCUGGAGUCUGCUAUUGAAAAACUCCAUUCUUGUUUCUUUUUUAAAAUAACCUUCUGUGGUGUUGAACUUGAAAGGUUGUCAGAUGGAAGUGUUUAUGUGCUCUCAUCUCAGUUAAAAUAGCGUAAAGAAGAAAGUAUCCAACACAUAUAUUUACUGAGUACCUGGAGGGACAUAAUUCAGGGGAUGAGGUGGAUGAGGUGAUAUCUGACCUGCCAUCCGUGAUGCAGCUCUCGCUUGAUGUAGGCUGUAUGCAUGCCAGGGGAAAAUUAAUAGUCCUCUGGCUGUAAUCAAUUUACUUCAUUCAAACAAUUGGCAAUUGUAUUUUCAAGCAACUGGCAAUUUCAUCUGUUUUACCAAGUUCUCCAAAACACACAACUGAGGACUGACUGCAAAGAUAAAUAUUAAUAAUUGAAGAAAAGCCAUCUGCUGUACGGGUCACUGCUGGGGACACCAGAAGUCCCUUGGGAAUCUGGCCAAGUCUGAGGGCGCAGACUCCACCUGACUGAGAACCCCCCCUCACUUUCCCACCCCCUUUUUCUCCCUCGGUGGGAAUGUGGUUCUCAUUUAAAAUAUAGUAGAGCUAUGCUAUAUGUGGCUUUAGUAAAAUUCCAAUAAUCAGCUCUUACCUACAUGGAUUCCACAAAUAUCUGGAUUUUUUCUUUAUCUGCUUUUAGAAAAUGGUCAAUAAAUAAAAAGCUGCAGUGAUUGCUUUAGGAUUCUGCUCAGGAAAUCAGGAGACCUGAAUUCUAGUCCCAUUUCUGUGACUGGCUCUGUGAACUCAAGCUAUCUCCUCUCUGAAUCUCUUUUCUUAUAUGUAACAUUAAAAUGUUGUGCUACAUGAUCUCAAAGUUCCCUUCUGCCAAUAACAGUCUAUAUUUCCAGUACCAGGGGUUUAAUUUCAGAACCACCUUUCUGGGCUCAGUACAUUGAGCCUGGUCUCCUGUACCUUCUGCACCUUCAGUCCUACCUAUGACAGCCAUAAAUUAUAUCAAACUUUAUAUACUUAGUAAUCAUGAUUUACUUCAUAGUUUUCAAAGCACCUUCAUACUCAUUCUUUCAUCUAAUCUUCAUAUAAUCCCUGUAAGGUACACAGCUCAGGUAUUAUUACUCCCAUUUUGCAGAUGGAGAAACUGAGACCUAGACAAGUAAAAUAACUCAUGCAAGGUCAUAGGGCUAGAGAAGGAACAAGAACCCAGGUAUUCUGACUCCAAGACUGGUGCUUUAUUCCUUUCACAAAUAUAAUAUUAACAAUGGCAACUAAUAGUUAUUGAAUGCUCACUAUAUACCAAGUACUUUCCACAUAUUUUAUCAUUUAACUUUUAGCACAGCCUCAUGAGGAGGGCACAACUAUUUUCCCCAUUUGUCAGAUAGAAAAACUGAGGCUUGGAGGAGUAAAGUUCCUCACUCAUGGCUAUAUACUUAGGAAGUGGAGGAUCUGGUAUUUGAACCCGGAGAGUCUGACUUGUGAGUAUAACCACCAUUCUUAUACUGACUGUCUUGAAAUAUACAGCAUGUACCUUAAAGAGGAUGGAAGGUCAGGUUCUCACUUUGGUUGCCCUAUCUGGGGGCAAAAUAAUGAUCAUUCCAGAAAGGUCGAGGCAACUAAUCAGUCAGCAAGGAUUUGUUAAGUAUUUACUGUGUGUUCAGAUGUGUGCUAGGAUGCAGUGUUACAGGGGGUUGAGGCAUAAUUGUUAACCUCAGUGAAUUAGGAAUCCACCUAAUUGUAUAAAAUUGAGUAAUAGUUAUAUAAAAUCAUGGCAUGUAUAUAAAUAGGUGAUAAAAUGACACUAUGAGGUAAAAUAAUUUAUAGAUAUUUAAAAAAUCAAAUUUUCAAAGAACAUUCAAGGGGUCUGGAAAAAUGUUUCCUAUAUAAUGUAAAGGAUUUAAAAGGCAGGAUGGGUAUCUGUACAUAUGGUAAAACUAAACUUUUUGUGAUUCUUUUACUUGGAUGAGUUUUCUUAUCCAUAUUUUCGAAGUUUUUUUUCUUUACACUGAGCAUGAAUUAAUUUUAUAUUUUAACUUCUAUAAUAAAAAACCGCAUAUUUAAAAAAUCUAGUUGGGGUAAUAUGACAUAUACAUGAAACAAUUAGAGAAAAAAGGUAUCAGCAAAUGGUAACAUAAUAAGACUUGCGGUGUUGCCCUAGUACAACACUCUGCUAGUAAGUUUCAAAACACGGUGGAAAAGACCCCACUCUGGGAAUCUGGCAGUCUAGAUUCCCAUCUUGCUUCUGCCAUCAGGGAUCUGCAUCCCCUUUGGCAAAUCUCUUCUCCUUUCUUGGCCUCACUUUCCUCAUCCGCAAAAUGAGGUAGUUGAACUAGAACCGCUUGAUCUAUCUCCAACACUGUGAUCUGUGACAAGACUUCAAGACUUGGUUUUGCUGAUUCCUGACUAUAAAUCAGAGGGUAGUAAAAUGACAGGUUAACAUUGGAGGCACUAAAUGGAAGAUACUGUUAACCGUGGUCCCUGAAACUCAUGCUUUACUGCAUUUUUAAUUCACUUGCUGUGAAUUUUUUCUUCCUCUUCUCCAUCUAGUUAAAAAAGGCAGGGCUGUCAUGAUUUUCAAAUAUAACAUCAUUGUAAGACUCACAGACUCCAAGAAGGAAC
Long non-coding RNA from Manis javanica (Malayan pangolin), 3848 nucleotides. RefSeq lists it as uncharacterized. NCBI's taxonomy places the organism in Eukaryota, Metazoa, Chordata, Mammalia, Pholidota, Manidae. The record is from RefSeq and is a predicted model, not a curated record.